GCAAGUGAUGACUUAACUUUCUUCACUUUGACCUGAGUUAAUUAGUGAUGAUAGCCAUCUCUCUGAGC
Molecule: small nucleolar RNA, 68 nt
Organism: Dunckerocampus dactyliophorus (ringed pipefish)
Lineage: Eukaryota; Metazoa; Chordata; Actinopteri; Syngnathiformes; Syngnathidae
Product: small nucleolar RNA SNORD37
Exons: 1
Source: RefSeq, a predicted model, not a curated record